This 467-nucleotide ribosomal RNA is filed under the name uncultured bacterium. Its description in RNAcentral is "partial 16S ribosomal RNA". It matches the Rfam family "Bacterial small subunit ribosomal RNA", at positions 28 to 507 of the family's 1533-position model. The record is from RNAcentral.
GAUGAACGCUGGCGGCGCGCCUAACACAUGCAAGUCGAACGAUUAAAGCACCUUCGGGUGUGUAUAAAGUGGCGAUCGGCUGAGUAACACGUGGGCAACCUGCCCCUUUCAUUGGGAUAGCCACGGGAAACCGUGGAUAAUACCGAAUACUUCGAGACUUCCGCAUGGAAGACUCGAGAAAGCUCCGGCGGAGAGGGAUGGGCCCGCGGCCUGUUAGCUUGUUGGUGGGGUAACGGCCUACCAAGGCAAUGAUGGGUAGCUGGGUUGAGAGACCGACCAGCCAGAUUGGGACUGAGACACGGCCCAGACUCCUACGGGAGGCAGCAGUGGGGAAUCUUGCACAAUGGGCGAAAGCCUGAUGCAGCGACGCCGCGUGCGGGAUGAAGGCCUUCGGGUUGUAAACCGCUUUCAGCAGGGACGAGGCGAAAGUGACGGUACCUGCAGAAGAAGCCCCGGCUAACUACGUG